AACAGAUUUAAAAAUCACAGUAAGAGAGAAAAAAAUAUUCUCAAAUAUUCAUUCAAGAAGCAGACAAAAGUUUGUAAGGACACUUAAGACUCGAAUGAAACAGUAAGAUUGACCUAAUAAAGAGAUAGCAACUUAUUUUCACUAAGAAAAUUUUGAAGUAAAUAUGACUACUUGAUCUCUCUAAUUGACUCAUGUCCUACAGGUUGGUGAUAUCUGUUUUUGGAAGGAAGUCUGUGAGGCCUGUCCAUUGAGUAGUGAUAUGCAUUAGGUUUUUCAGAGCAGUUCUCUCAGUUAUAAAGCCAUUAAAAGAGGCUAGGGCCAAUGGCUCAUGCCUGUAAUCCCAGCGCUUUGGGAGGUUGAGACAGGAGGAUUGCUUGAGUCUUUGAGUUUGAGACAAGCCAUGGCAACAUGGCAAAACUCUCUCCCUGCAAAUAUAAAUAAAUAAAUAAAUACAAUAAAAGUAAAAAACAAAAAGUAAAUAAAAACCUAGAUGAGCAUGGUGGCACACACCUGUGAUCCCAGCUACUCCAGAGGCUGAGCUAGGAGGAUUGCUUGAGCCAGGGAGGUUGAGGCUGCAGCAAGCUGUAACUGUGCCAGUGCAAUUCAACUUGAGUGACAGAGUGAGACUCUAUUUCAAAUAAAAAAAUUAAAAAGAGUUGAUUAGGUAUUCUCAAAUUUACUGGAAGAGCUUGUUUAUUAUGUAACUCUCAAUAAAGACUCCCAAUGUUGUCAAUGUUGAAGUCUCCAUCUCAUGUUUUAUUGAGCUUUGACCCAGUGCACAUUUCUAUGAACUUUGUGGAUGAGUAUUUCUUUUUUGGCUAUAAGACUUGUAAAUCAUCAUUUUCCUUUCCAAAACUCAUGUGCUUACUCUACUAUAGGGAUAGGAAAGGAGUGCUAGAAUUGUCAGAAGUCUGUGGUGCUGCACAUAAAAAUUUUUUUAAAGAAGUUUGUCUUAACACAGGCUACAAGAACGUGAAGCUCUAGAAAAAUCACCACAGGCAAGUUUAUUGUGCCCAUGUGGGGCAAUGGAAGCUGACACAGGGUUCUGGAUUCAACUAGCAAGUUUCUCUUUAUUUGCCUUCUUUCCUAUUUAUAUUUAGUUGCUUCUUCAUUAUUUCCUCGAAAAAUCCGACUUUCCUUCUUAAUUUUCCUUUUUUAUUUUUUAGAUAUAGGAUCUUGCUUUGUCACCUACGCUGGAAACCAGUGGCAUGAUUAUGGCUCAUAUAGCCUUAAACUCCUAGACUUCCCUCUUUUAGGUCUGGAAUUUCACAGAAUAUUUCAGACAUAACUACUGACAUUUUAAAGACUGAUUUAAUUGGUUAUGAGUUAUUAUCACCAAUGAGAGAAUUGCAGAGAGUUGCAGAGAGAGUUGGGUCGAGUAAGAAGGAUAAAAAAGAUGAUUCAUGUACUGUAAAUAGCUGUGAAGAAUGUGGCCAGAAGGGAUAGUAGAAGGGUUGAAGCAUUGUUUUUCAACAUAUUUUUGGAUUUAAUAAUUAGGUCUUCUGAGUAGAAAAUUACUGGGAGGAAAGUUGGAUUGUAGAGGCUAAGGACAAAGUCAGUGGAGAUAAAAUGGUAACAGCUAGUAGAGAUCACUUAUGUAUGAACCCACUCUCCUAAGUUUAAAACAAAGGAUUAAAGGGAAAGAACAGAGAGAGAAAAAUGUUGAGAUAAGGGACAGAGACAAGGGACAUAUAAGUGGUACAUGUAAUAGCAUUAAAAGAGGAGAUAGACUCAACUUUUGAGACUGAAAGAUGAAUGAUAGAUGAAGGCUGUAGGAAUAAAAAGAAUGAAUUUUUUUGCAAAAUGGAAAUGCAAUCUUCUGCUUUAUUCAAUUAUAUACUUGAAAAACUUUGAUAAAAAUUGAUUUUGACCUAGUAAAUCUCAAUAUAUUAAGAGAGACUUAAGUUUUGUGUUGCCAAAGUGUCAAUUAAGUCAUCAGAGAAUUGAUUCUUCAGUUUGAAUCUUAAGUACUGUGAAUCUUGAGUAACCAGCAAGGGGAGCUCUAAUUAUGGGCAUAUUUGUACUUAAGUCUCUGACUGAGUGAGGUCUGACCAUACAUGUGUGGGACAGGUAGCAAACAACCUUUCUAAAAGAGAAAAGAAAAAUUCAAAAUGAGAUUUCACAUGUGG
This 2129-nucleotide long non-coding RNA is filed under the name Macaca mulatta (Rhesus monkey). Its description in RNAcentral is "lncRNA (ENSMMUG00000061266.1)". Lineage: Eukaryota; Metazoa; Chordata; Mammalia; Primates; Cercopithecidae. The record is from RNAcentral.